This 101-nucleotide small nucleolar RNA is filed under the name Meriones unguiculatus (Mongolian gerbil). Its description in RNAcentral is "Small nucleolar RNA SNORA17 (ENSMUGG00000004292.1)". It matches the Rfam family "Small nucleolar RNA SNORA17", at positions 28 to 132 of the family's 132-position model. From Rfam's summary of the family: snoRNA ACA 17 belongs to the H/ACA family of snoRNAs and is predicted to guide pseudouridylation of the 28S rRNA at positions U4659 and U4598. It shares the same host gene together with ACA43. NB This family has a high threshold value to exclude a large number of closely related sequences that do not appear to have conserved H and ACA boxes, and may be pseudogenes. The record is from RNAcentral. Lineage: Eukaryota; Metazoa; Chordata; Mammalia; Rodentia; Muridae.
CCUGCUGUGUUACAUGUGUGGCAGCAGGUGGCAGCGAGGAGAGAGGCCAUGUCUGUGCUCAGUGUUCUGACCUGUGGACAUCCCAUCAGUUGCCUAACAUU